UGAUAAAACCGGAAAUCAGCAACUAAACGAAAUGUGUUAACCAAACCGUUAUUUUCCAAAAGCAGAGCAACAGGCUUCGUCUAACAGACUUAAUCCGUUAAAAAACCGUUAUUCUAAACCACGGUCCACGGUUAACUAUUAACCAUGGUUAGAUUAGCUUAAACCCCACAGUAUAAAUCCGUCGACGAAUCUUUCUCCUUUGCUCUCGACUUAACUCUGUUUCUAUCUUAUAAACUCACUUCAAUCUUCAUUCUUCUUCCUCCAAGAUUUUGAAUCAAGAUUCUUGAAAAAGAAAAAUGGAUGGUGUUGUUCAUCAAGCUCAAGCACGAGAUCAAGAUAGUCGUCGUCGAACAAAUCAAAACGGUCGACUUAUCGAAGCGACAAUCUUGGUCUCUCUCAUCACUUCUCUCAUGAUUCGCAGGAGUUCUUACCUCUCAGAUCUGAAUCCGGAAACAAAUACGACGUCGGUGGCUAGAUACGUGGCGGUUCUCGGUUUGUUGGAUCUUCCCGAUUCUUUGGAGAGGAUACAGAGAGCUCAAGUAAUCGCCGGCAAGUUUCUGAUUGUCACUCUCAUUUCACAGUCUUGCUUGUUAUGUUUUAUCUUGUUCCUCCGGUAAAUCGGAUCCUCUAUCCUCUGUUUUCUUUGCGAACGACGCCGUUUUGAUUGUGAUCACAAACUCUCGUUUCUUGUUGUUUUUUUUUUUCCUGGUUUCUUUGGUUUGUACAUAUGAUUGAUUGUUGAAAACCGUUUGAUAUAUUCAAUUCAAUAUAAACAUAAAUGCUUGAUUUA
Long non-coding RNA from Arabidopsis lyrata subsp. lyrata, 790 nucleotides. RefSeq lists it as uncharacterized. The transcript has 2 exons. The record is from RefSeq and is a predicted model, not a curated record. Lineage: Eukaryota; Viridiplantae; Streptophyta; Magnoliopsida; Brassicales; Brassicaceae.